ACAGAGGUGGCAAGCGUUGUUCGGAAUUACUGGGCGUAAAGGGCGCGUAGGCGGUCUUGCAAGUCCCGUGUGAAAUCCCUCGGCUCAACUGAGGAAUGGCACGGGAAACUGCUUUGCUUGAGGCCGGGAGAGGCGAGUGGAAUUCCCAGUGUAGCGGUGAAAUGCGUAGAUAUUGGGAGGAACACCAGUGGCGAAGGCGGCUCGCUGGACCGGUUCUGACGCUGAUGCGCGAAAGCGUGGGGAGCAAACAGGA
RNAcentral lists this ribosomal RNA (253 nucleotides) under uncultured prokaryote. RNAcentral's name for it is "partial 16S ribosomal RNA". It matches the Rfam family "Bacterial small subunit ribosomal RNA", at positions 525 to 777 of the family's 1533-position model. The record is from RNAcentral.